CGUAACAAGGUUUCCGUAGGUGAACCUGCGGAAGGAUCAUUC
This 42-nucleotide ribosomal RNA is filed under the name Linnemannia gamsii. RNAcentral describes it as "Mortierella gamsii partial 17S ribosomal RNA". It matches the Rfam family "Eukaryotic small subunit ribosomal RNA", at positions 1790 to 1831 of the family's 1831-position model. RNAcentral also lists the same sequence under 1 other name. Lineage: Eukaryota; Fungi; Mortierellomycota; Mortierellomycetes; Mortierellales; Mortierellaceae. The record is from RNAcentral.